GAUUAACGCUGGCGGCGUGCCUAACACAUGCAAGUCGAGCGGCAGCGAGUUUUACACUGAAUUCUGGGAGCUUCUAGUUGAAAGAGAAGAUUUAUUCAAGAAUUUUGUGUAAAAUGUCGGCGAGCGGCGGACGGCUGAGUAACGCGUGGGAACGUACCCCAAAGUGAGGGAUAACGCAUCGAAAGGUGUGCUAAUACCGCAUAUGGUCUUCGGAUUAAAGCCUUCGGGCGCUUUGGGAACGGCCUGCGUAAGAUUAGAUAGUUGGUGGGGUAAUGGCCUACCAAGUCGACGAUCUUUAACUGGUUUGAGAGGAUGAUCAGUCAGACUGGAACUGAGACACGGUCCAGACUCCUACGGGAGGCAGCAGUGAGGAAUCUUCCACAAUGGGCGAAAGCCUGAUGGAGCAACGCCGCGUGCAGGAUGAAGGCCUUCGGGUUGUAAACUGCUUUUAUAAGUGAGGAUUAUGACAGUAACUUAUGAAUAAGGAUCGGCUAACUACGUG
Molecule: ribosomal RNA, 502 nt
Filed under: uncultured bacterium
Lineage: Bacteria
Description: partial 16S ribosomal RNA
Rfam family: Bacterial small subunit ribosomal RNA
Source: RNAcentral